This 70-nucleotide transfer RNA is filed under the name Aradus compar. RNAcentral's name for it is "tRNA-Val". Lineage: Eukaryota; Metazoa; Arthropoda; Insecta; Hemiptera; Aradidae. The record is from RNAcentral.
CAGAUUAUAGGCUUGUAGCCGCUUUUUGUUUACAUCAAAUAGUUCGGUCGUGCGAUCCGGCCUAAUCUGA